GAUAAACGCUGGCGGCGUGCCUUAUGCAUGCAAGUCGAACGAGGUUAGGAUUUCGGUCCGAAGCCUAGUGGCGGACGGGUGAGUAACACGUACGUGACCUGUCCAGAAGUGGGGAAUAACCAGCCGAAAGGUUGGCUAAUACCGCAUGUGGUCCCCCCUGGAGGGAGGGACAAAGACGAACGGACGCUUCUGGAGGGGCGGUGCGGCGGAUUAGUUAGUUGGUGUGGUAACGGCGCACCAAGACGAU
This 247-nucleotide ribosomal RNA is filed under the name uncultured bacterium. RNAcentral's name for it is "partial 16S ribosomal RNA". It matches the Rfam family "Bacterial small subunit ribosomal RNA", at positions 28 to 277 of the family's 1533-position model. The record is from RNAcentral.